AUUGAACGCUGGCGGCAUGCUUUACACAUGCAAGUCGAACGGUAACAGGCCGCCAGGUGCUGACGAGUGGCGAACGGGUGAGUAAUGCAUCGGAACGUGCCCAGUCGUGGGGGAUAACUACUCGAAAGAGUAGCUAAUACUGCAUACGAUCUAUGGAUGAAAGCGGGGGACCGUAAGGCCUCGCGCGAUUGGAGCGGCCGAUGUCAGAUUAGGUAGUUGGUGGGGUAAAGGCUCACCAAGCCAACGAUCUGUAGCUGGUCUGAGAGGACGACCAGCCACACUGGGACUGAGACACGGCCCAGACUCCUACGGGAGGCAGCAGUGGGGAAUUUUGGACAAUGGGCGCAAGCCUGAUCCAGCAAUGCCGCGUGCAGGAAGAAGGCCUUCGGGUUGUAAACUGCUUUUGUACGGAACGAAACGGCUCUGGUUAAUACCCGGGGCUAAUGACGGUACCGUAAGAAUAAGCACCGGCUAACUACGUG
Molecule: ribosomal RNA, 482 nt
Filed under: uncultured bacterium
Lineage: Bacteria
Description: partial 16S ribosomal RNA
Rfam family: Bacterial small subunit ribosomal RNA
Source: RNAcentral